Molecule: ribosomal RNA, 327 nt
Filed under: uncultured bacterium
Lineage: Bacteria
Description: bacterial SSU rRNA
Rfam family: Bacterial small subunit ribosomal RNA
Source: RNAcentral
AGGGUUUGAUUAUGGCUCAGGAUGAACGCUGGCGGCGUGCUUAACACAUGCAAGUCGAACGAUUAACCCGCCCUCGGGCGGUUAUAGAGUGGCGAACGGGUGAGUAACACGUGACCAACCUGCCCCUUGCUCCGGGACAACCCAGGGAAACCUCGGCUAAUACCGGAUACUCCGCGCAGCCCGCAUGGGAGGCGCGGGAAAGCCCAGACGGCAAGGGAUGGGGUCGCGGCCCAUUAGGUAGACGGCGGGGUAACGGCCCACCGUGCCCGCGAUGGGUAGCCGGGUUGAGAGACCGAUCGGCCACAUUGGGACUGAGAUACGGCCCAG